Molecule: ribosomal RNA, 1676 nt
Filed under: Hoplias intermedius
Lineage: Eukaryota; Metazoa; Chordata; Actinopteri; Characiformes; Erythrinidae
Description: 16S ribosomal RNA
Rfam family: Bacterial large subunit ribosomal RNA
Source: RNAcentral
GCUAAACAGCUAGCUCACACAGACAUUUAAAUAACAACAUUAAUUAUAUGCAUAUGACCCAAAUAAAUCUAAUUAAACCAUUCUCCUGCCUUAGUACGGGCGACAGAAAAGGCAACUAUGAAGCUAUAGAAAAAGUACCGCAAGGGAAAGCUGAAAGAGAAAUGAAAUAAACCAUUAAAGCCCAACAAAGCAGAGAUUAAAUCUCGUACCUUUUGCAUCAUGAUUUAGCCAGUCGUACUUGAGCAAAGAGAACUUUAGUUCAAAGCCCCGAAACCAAGCGAGCUACCCCAGGACAGCCUAUUAGGGCCAACCCGUCUCUGUGGCAAAAGAGUGGGAAGAUCUUUGGGUAGAGGUGACAAGCCUACCGAGCUUGGUGAUAGCUGGUUGUCUAGGAAAUGGAUAGAAGUUCAGCCCCGCACUCCUUAACUCACCAGGGCCACCACACCACGAGACAAAGAAAGACGCGAGAGUUAGUCAAAGGGGGUACAGCCCCUUUGAAUCAGGACACAACCUUACCAGGAGGUUAAGGAUCAUACUAAACAAGAUCUUCUGCUUCAGUGGGCCUAAAAGCAGCCAUCUGCAUAGAAAGCGUUAAAGCUCAGGCAGUUUAUAAAUCUAUUAUUCUGAUACCCCAUCCCACACCCCUUCACUUACUAGACCGUUCCAUGCCAACAUGGAAGUGACCCUGCUAAAAUGAGUAAUAAGAAGGUGUACCCUUCUCCUAUAGCCCGUGUGUAAGUUAGAUCGGACCUACCACUAACAAUUAACGAACCCAACCCAAGAGGGUAAAAUGACAAAAACACAAGAAAAACCCACACAACCUCAUCGUUAAACCCACACUGGAGGGCUACCAAGGAAAGAUUAAAAGAAGAGGAAGGAACUCGGCAAACACAAGCCUCGCCUGUUUACCAAAAACAUCGCCUCCUGCAAACAUUCAACGUAUAGGAGGUCCUGCCUGCCCAGUGACUAUUAGUUAAACGGCCGCGGUAUUUUGACCGUGCUAAGGUAGCGCAAUCACUUGUCCUUUAAAUGAGGACCUGUAUGAAUGGUGGAACGAGGGCUUAACUGUCUCCCCCCUCUAAUCAAUGAAAUUGAUCUGCCCGUGCAGAAGCGGGCAUAAAAAUACAAGACGAGAAGACCCUUUGGAGCUUAAGAUACUCAAAUCAACUGCAUUCAAUCCCCUUAUUAAAAGGAUCAAAUAAUAACAGCAUCUGAUUAAUUAUCUUCGGUUGGGGCGACCGCGGGGGAAAACAAAGCCCCCAUGUGGAAUGGGAUAUAACCCUAAAACCAAGAGAGACAUCUCUAAGUCACAGAACUUCUGACCAAAAGAUCCGGCUACAUAUGCCGACCAGCGAACCAAGUUACCCUAGGGAUAACAGCGCAAUCCUCUUUAAGAGUCCAUAUCGACAAGUGGGUUUACGACCUCGAUGUUGGAUCAGGACAUCCUAAUGGUGCAGCCGCUAUUAAGGGUUCGUUUGUUCAACGAUUAAAGUCCUACGUGAUCUGAGUUCAGACCGGAGCAAUCCAGGUCAGUUUCUAUCUGUAAAUGCUGUUUUUUCUAGUACGAAAGGACCGAAAAAACAAGGCCCAUACUUAAAGCACGCCUUAAUUCUACUUGAUGAAAACAACUAAACCAAACAAAGAAAAGCACCCUCCCCUCCCAAGAUAAGGGACUU